AAGUGGAGCAAUCCAUGAGUAAAGCGGCGACCGGGUGAGUAACACGUGACUACCUGCCCUCGAGUGGGGAAUAACUCCGGGAAACCGGGGCUAAUACCGCAUAACAUCGCAAGAUCAAAGCAGCAAUGCGCUUGAGGAGGGGGUCGCGGCUGAUUAGCUAGUUGGUAAGGUAACGGCUUACCAAGGCGAAGAUCGGUAUCCGGCCUGAGAGGGCGCACGGACACACUGGAACUGAAACACGGUCCAGACUCCUACGGGAGGCAGCAGUGGGGAGUUUUGCGCAAUGGGGGAAACCCUGACGCAGCAACGCCGCGUGGAGGAUGAAGCCCCUUGGG
This 335-nucleotide ribosomal RNA is filed under the name uncultured bacterium. Its description in RNAcentral is "bacterial SSU rRNA". It matches the Rfam family "Bacterial small subunit ribosomal RNA", at positions 72 to 422 of the family's 1533-position model. The record is from RNAcentral.